GCUGGUGUAAAUGAUGACUCACUUUUUUCCCCAUCAUAUCGACAAUGCUGAUCUUUUAGAAUAUUUGCCAGUUAACUCCUGAUACGCCAGC
Cavia porcellus (domestic guinea pig) is the source of this 91-nucleotide small nucleolar RNA. Ensembl annotates it as small nucleolar SNORD12/SNORD106. Its record names the gene SNORD12C. The record is from Ensembl. Lineage: Eukaryota; Metazoa; Chordata; Mammalia; Rodentia; Caviidae.